AUGCACAACUAAGUGACUUGAUAGCCUACUUGUGGCCUUGAGGUUUCAUUCUUGUGCAAGAUUAAACUUCAGUUUGCAGAUGGGAUGAGCUUUAACCUGUGGCUUGCUCCCUUUCGAAGGCUGGGGAUAAUU
Small nucleolar RNA from Callorhinchus milii (elephant shark), 132 nucleotides. NCBI's taxonomy places the organism in Eukaryota, Metazoa, Chordata, Chondrichthyes, Chimaeriformes, Callorhinchidae. The record is from Ensembl.